AUCAUCUCGCUAGGCUAAUUUCACCAGAAAACGAACUCCGAGGAACAUAGGCAGGGCCCAUGACCAGGGGCAAAUACCAUUUUUGACGAUCAAUGGUGAAACCAUGUUUGCUGGAUCCUUGGGAAUGGAGCGAUUUGGUUGCUGAAAUGGUGAGUUUAGCACCGACCAUCAUUUAUGGUUGUUGGCAUCGUCGAAUCAACUCAUUGGUGACAAGAUCUUGUCAUUGGCAGCGGCGUGGGCGACUAAAUUGCCACAACAGUGGUCGGAGAGGAGAAAAACAAGACAAAGAAAGAACACAAUUAGGAAAUAGAGAGAGGUGGAUGAUCUGGCAACUAAAAGGCAUUCCAUGGCCAAUGACCAGAAAGAAAUAAAGUGGAG
RNAcentral lists this long non-coding RNA (378 nucleotides) under Theobroma cacao (cacao). Its description in RNAcentral is "long non-coding RNA (TCAC_LNC002116)". The record is from RNAcentral. Lineage: Eukaryota; Viridiplantae; Streptophyta; Magnoliopsida; Malvales; Malvaceae.